UGGAACGUUGGCAGUACCUGCG
This 22-nucleotide unclassified non-coding RNA is filed under the name Chlamydomonas reinhardtii. Its description in RNAcentral is "small RNA Cre_3213". Lineage: Eukaryota; Viridiplantae; Chlorophyta; Chlorophyceae; Chlamydomonadales; Chlamydomonadaceae. The record is from RNAcentral.